RNAcentral lists this ribosomal RNA (110 nucleotides) under uncultured soil bacterium. RNAcentral describes it as "partial 16S ribosomal RNA". It matches the Rfam family "Bacterial small subunit ribosomal RNA", at positions 26 to 138 of the family's 1533-position model. The record is from RNAcentral.
AGGACGAACGCUGGCGGCGUGCUUAACACAUGCAAGUCGAGCGGAAAGGCCUUUCGGGGUACUCGAGCGGCGAACGGGUGAGUAACACGUGAGUAAUCUGCCCAUCGCUU